CCUACGGGAGGCAGCAGUGAGGAAUAUUGGUCAAUGGCCGGAAGUCUGAACCAGCCAAGCCGCGUGAAGGACGAAGGUGCCAAGCAUUGUAAACUUCUUUUGUCAAGGGACAAAAUCAGGCUCGAGAGCCUGACCGAGGGUACUUGAAGAAAAAGCAUCGGCUAACUCCGUGCCAGCAGCCGCGGUAAUACGGAGGAUGCGAGCGUUAUCCGGAUUUAUUGGGUUUAAAGGGUGCGUAGGCGGGCUGUUAAGUCAGCGGUAAAAGCCCGGGGCUCAACCCCGGCGAGCCGUUGAAACUGGCUGUCUUGAGAUGGCGAGAGGUAGGCGGAAUGCGCAGUGUAGCGGUGAAAUGCUUAGAUAUUGCGCAGAACUCCGAUUGCGAAGGCAGCAUACCGGCGGCGAUCUGACGCUGAGGCACGAAAGCGUGGGUAUCGAACAGGAUUAGAUACCCUUGUAGUC
Molecule: ribosomal RNA, 459 nt
Filed under: uncultured bacterium
Lineage: Bacteria
Description: partial 16S ribosomal RNA
Rfam family: Bacterial small subunit ribosomal RNA
Source: RNAcentral